RNAcentral lists this ribosomal RNA (450 nucleotides) under uncultured bacterium. RNAcentral describes it as "bacterial SSU rRNA". It matches the Rfam family "Bacterial small subunit ribosomal RNA", at positions 354 to 796 of the family's 1533-position model. The record is from RNAcentral.
GUGGGGAAUUUUGCGCAAUGGGCGGAAGCCUGACGCAGCAACGCCGCGUGGAGGAUGAAGGUCUUUGGAUCGUAAACUCCUGUCAGCAGGGAAAAAGCGACCGGGUCGAAUACACUCGGGAGUUGAUUGUACCUGCAGAGGAAGCCCCGGCUAACUCUGUGCCAGCAGCCGCGGUAAUACAGAGGGGGCAAGCGUUAUUCGGAAUUAUUGGGCGUAAAGGGCGCGUAGGCGGCCUGGCAAGCGACGGGUGAAAUCCCUCGGCUUAACCGAGGAACUGCCUGUCGAACUGCCUGGCUUGAGGCCGGGAGAGGCGAGUGGAAUUCCCAGUGUAGCGGUGAAAUGCGUAGAUAUUGGGAGGAACACCAGUGGCGAAGGCGGCUCGCUGGACCGGUACUGACGCUGAGGCGCGAAAGCGUGGGGAGCAAACAGGAUUAGAUACCCUAGUAGUCC